RNAcentral lists this ribosomal RNA (429 nucleotides) under Pseudomonadota bacterium. RNAcentral's name for it is "Proteobacteria bacterium partial 16S ribosomal RNA". It matches the Rfam family "Bacterial small subunit ribosomal RNA", at positions 355 to 776 of the family's 1533-position model. The record is from RNAcentral. Lineage: Bacteria; Pseudomonadati; Pseudomonadota.
UGGGGAAUAUUGGACAAUGGGCGAAAGCCUGAUCCAGCCAUGCCGCGUGUGUGAAGAAGGUCUUCGGAUUGUAAAGCACUUUAAGUUGGGAGGAAGGGCAGUAAGUGAAUACCUUGCUGUUUUGACGUUACCGACAGAAUAAGCACCGGCUAACUCUGUGCCAGCAGCCGCGGUAAUACAGAGGGUGCAAGCGUUAAUCGGAAUUACUGGGCGUAAAGCGCGCGUAGGUGGUUCGUUAAGUUGAAUGUGAAAGCCCCGGGCUCAACCUGGGAACUGCAUCCAAAACUGGCGAGCUAGAGUAGGGCAGAGGGUGGUGGAAUUUCCUGUGUAGCGGUGAAAUGCGUAGAUAUAGGAAGUAACACCAGUGGCGAAGGCGACCACCUGGGCUCAUACUGACACUGAGGUGCGAAAGCGUGGGGAGCAAACAGG